This 253-nucleotide ribosomal RNA is filed under the name uncultured bacterium. Its description in RNAcentral is "partial 16S ribosomal RNA". It matches the Rfam family "Bacterial small subunit ribosomal RNA", at positions 524 to 776 of the family's 1533-position model. The record is from RNAcentral.
UACGAAGGGUGCAAGCGUUACUCGGAAUUACUGGGCGUAAAGCGUGCGUAGGUGGUGAGUUAAGUCUGUCGUGAAAGCCCCGGGCUCAACCUGGGAAUGGCGAUGGAUACUGGCUCGCUAGAGUGCGGUAGAGGAGAGUGGAAUUCCCGGUGUAGCAGUGAAAUGCGUAGAGAUCGGGAGGAACAUCAGUUGCGAAGGCGGCUCACUGGCCCGAUACUGACGCUGAGGUGCGAAAGCGUGGGGAGCAAACAGG